GCAGCAUGAUAGUGGGGAAAUGACUGAAUCCACAAGUGCUCCUAAUUCAGCAGUGAUGAAUAAUCCGUUCAUCUGCAGCUCAGCAGCUGAGCUCCAUUUCCUGACCUCAGAUGCCUCUCCUCAGGCCAAGCAGAGCCCUUCAAGAACCAGCUUAAAGCCGGUUUUGCAGCCUGAUCUCCAGGAAAUGCUAAAACAGCCACAAAUGAGGGGAAAAAAAUAAUUCAAAGGAGUUUGAAAACAUGAAAACAGCCCAGUGCUGCCACUCUGUAAGCAACAAGGAGUGGAGGCCCUUGGAGGAACACAAGAACAGGCAGUGACUGGUUGAAAAAACGCCUGCCUCCUUUAACAUCUGUGACAGUCGAAGGCAGAGCUCACCAGCUCAUUUUCAGCAAAGCAGCUUGGGAACCACUUUGCAGUUAGGAAUUGAGGUUUUGGGGAAAGUUCAGCCACCAGUUCCACCUCCGGAUUCCUUUCUGGACUGCAGAACCCUUGCUCAAGCUCAGGAUAAACCUCCUGCCUGUAUGAAAUGGCUGUUAGCCUGCCCUGCACAGUGGUAAAACAGCAGUGUGAGAUGAACACAUAGGGAACCUCCCCUCAUGUGGAAAUGUGUAAGUGAUUUAAAGGAAGCUGACAGGUCCCAGAGAAAAAAUCGAAGAGGAAAAGCAGAAAUAAAGCUGAUGAAUUCUUCCACGGUCUGAAGGCAAGUAGAGAGGAGCUUCCAGAUGUAAUGAAAUGCAUUGUUAACUUUGUUAUUGAUAAGACUGUCUGCCGGUGGCGAGGAGAUGAGGCUGUGCUGGCUUUUUUAGUGUACUGUGUACCUGCUUCCACAUCAUGGCUGUGAGGACAUUGGCAGCUGUGACUGCCACUGCUGGGCAGGGAGAGCACCAAGCCCAGCUCAGAUCCUUUCCAGACAUCAACGGCAGGCAGUUUUUGGCCUUCUCACAUCUUAAAACUUCUCCCCAUGCCCAUGUGGACGUGGACUUCAGGUGAACGUUGGCCUAGGCCUGCUCAUCAGCAGUGCUAUGGACAUAGCGUUGGUUUCUGAGGGGAUGCGGCCUUUGUCUAAUGGGACUGCCCCUUUCCCUCAUGGUUUCUGGUAGGUUUGUGCCCAGAUACAUGUGUUCGGGCACCGACUCUGUGCCUUGCUGAUCCUAAUGUGUGCAGCACACUGCCACGAGCACCCUUCUCGUUCCACAGGGUGUGUUUCUGCUCUCCAUCCCAGGCCAACACCGAGUAACAUGGCUUUUACAUGCAAAUGGAAAGAGGAUUUGGGGCUACUUCUCUCGUGUGGGGCUCAUUUAAACAGGCGGGUCAUGUAUUACAUUUAGUGAAAGUUGUGCCUUUUAAUCUUCUGAUCUCUGUCCCUGCUUUGAGCAGCUUUGCCAUCUGCUCAGAUGAAAUGUGACGUGACAAGACGUUUCAGCAGAGUCCCAUGUUUCUCCAAUGCUCCUCUCCUCCACCUAGAUCUACUGAGCAGCUCAGGGAAAGAAGUUGUGUGGCACUUGUGACACCAAAUUACUUACCAAUUGCAGAAUUAUUUGGAGUUUACCCUCUUAGUAACCCUGUGUGAAAUACAACUUUUUUUUUGUUGUUAUGAUUUCCCUGAAGAAUCUAGUGCUCAGGUGGGUUUAUCUUUCAGUGUUGGUCACCAACACCUUGUUUUGCUGUCAGCUUGAGGUGUAACUCCUCUGUUUUAAUUUGUGUGGUUCUGCUUGUUUGGAAGUAUUACUGAAUGGAGAGGAAGAAGGCUGAAGGUGUCAUUUCCACAGAUAAAGCUGUAGCUGUGCUGGUCUUAGAUUAGAAAAUGAACAAAUCCUUACCUCCAGGAUGAGCUGCUCUGAACAAGACUAACUGCAAAAAGUUUCCUGAACUUGGCUUGCGGUAACAGUGUGGCUCUUCCCUUGCUUUUGUCACCAGCAGAUCUCAAAGCACUUUGCAAAGGAAAUCAGUGUAUUUUUCAUCAAUAAAUGCAGGAGAGAGUGUCCACUCAAAAAAAAAAACAAACAAACAAAAAAAAAAACAAUGAAGAUAGGGGACUUGUUCCCCUGCCUGCUAUGUCCCCAGCCUUGUGCUCCUGCUAAGUAACAGUGUGGUUACAGGGUUUAUCUUUCUCCCUUUCAGCGUUUCCCCUCCCUUGGGUUUGUGUGUGUGGUUAACAUUUGUGCAUGCUCAGCUGCCUGAGUCCCCAAAGGCAGGACACCUGCAUUUUGUCACUGGAAAUCUCUGUGGAAAUAUGCCCAUCAGCAACACAGGCAAAGGUACAGUCUGGCUGAAAUCUAACUGAUCUAUGGCCUCUCUUGUCUCAGAAAUGAAUCUUUUGGGGCUCAAUAGCUUACGCUGACAGUGCUAUUAGUUUCAGGCUCGCCUUAGCAAGAGGGAGCUGACAAUAGUUGUGCAAGACCAGGCGAUGUUUGAAAUAGGAUCUGUGCUGUCAUUGUAACUGAAUCUUUGCUAUUUGGGAAGCCUUGGCUGGCUGCUGAGCCUGUGCUGUGAAUGGAUCUUGCAAUACAAAUAUUUGCCUGUGGAUAGAUGCCUUAUUAUUAAUUUAAAGCCUGACAUAAAUCAUGAGCUCAGAAAUGCAGACUUAAGCUUCCCGGACAAAAAUAGAUGUGGCCUCUUGCAUGGGGAGCCGUUCCGAUUAUGCUUCCAUAAUUGGAUCAUGCUGAAAUGGAUACCUUAAAUUUAGUUACAAAAGGCUAACCAGAAAAAAAUGCCAACAAUUUAUCACAGCCAUGGUGCUAUAUUUAAAGCUGUCAGCGUUUCCAGGAUAUAAAGCGAUUAUAAAUCCUAGUGGUUUGUAGCUGGCCGUAGGAAUCUGCCUUCAUGCUGACAUUUAACAUUCGAGUUCUCCACGCCGGAACCCCCUGAUUCAGGAAUGUAAUUAAGCCUUCACCUCCUUUUAAUUUAAGGAAUAACCCUACUGCCAAUACAGGCUUAAAUGUAGGCAUAUACUUGGAUGUGCUGUUGAAUCAAGGUCCAAAUACUUAAUUAAUUUCUCUCGGUAAUGAAAACCUGGCUGUUGAUUUGAAGUUAGAGGCACUAAAACGCUGCUCUCCAGUUUCAUUUAACUGAAAUAAAGCAAUGCCCAAUCCUGCUUGGAGUCUGAGCUUGUGGCAGCUCAUUAGCUAACAGAUGAGAAGUGCAGCAGUCAAAAAAAUGCGUUGAAUGUAGUCCUGUAUGAACCUUGCCUAACAAUGUCUUGCACAGAAGCCUUAAGAAAAAGGAAAGACAGAAUAACCUGCAGUAAAAUGUCUCUUAAAUAGCCUGAGGCUGCUGGAUCAAGCCGCUGGCAUGGUCAGCCCAGUGCUAUGCCUCCAAAACAGGUAAAAACAACUUGGAAGCAGGCAGGCAUGGAAUGACCAUCCUAAAAGGUUUCUUCCAGGUCUUCCCAAGCUUGUGCCCUGUAGAGAGUUCAUCUAUCUUAAAAACUCAUUAGAGCUUCAUCUUGUAGCCUCUAGUAACAUCAUCUCUUCUCACCAGUGUGGCUAAGGACUUUUCCAUGGAUAAAUGCAACAGAAUACCUGCUAGUUACAGCAUGAGCUCAGAGACGGUCAGGAAUUGGAGUAUUUCAUUCAAAUACGCCUGGCCUUGAACCUACUGUCUGAUAAGAUUUCAAAACAGAUCCAGCCUUCUUUUCCACAAAUAUCCCCUUUUAUUGGGAUACACCAAACCCAGGUACCUACAUCAGAGCACCUCUAAGCUGCUGGAACCAAGAGCUAAUGCCAACUCUCCAACCCUACUUACCAAAGACUGUAAUGGAAAUUUUGUGUCUCCUUUGAGGGUCCAUUAUUUGUUAUCAAACAAUAUUUUUACCUUCUCUUGCUGUGACCUUGGGUGAAUGAGAUGUUUUAGCUGCUCAAGAGCUGUACGAUGAGAGACGUUUGCUUGAAUUAUGAUGCAGAUAAUCCUGAAGGAACCUGGUAUUUGGAAAACUGGUCAAGAAAUAAGGCAAUGAGCAAUGAUGCUGCCUAUGGCUCUGCUUUCCAUUGUGUUUUCAUUUCCUACCUUCAUUCUUUUUCCCUUAAGUGACAUCAAGCUUGUGGAAUGUACUUCUUUAUUAGCAGGGUAAAGAACAAUAAGCAAAAAAAUGCAAUAAAAAAAAGAAAUUGCUUCCAAAGCUCCCUUGCCAACUAUGUGAAUCUUUCAGGAAACUAAUACAUACCCCAGCUCUGCAAAUCACUGAAGAAUGUGCGUUGUCUUAGUGGAGUAAACAGCACUCAGCAAGCCUGUGGAGAUAUUAUGCUGGGGAUGUGGGGCCUCAAGUCCUACAUCUGCACAGACAAUGUUCUGGGGCUUCUAAGGUGUCCCACAUGAGGCAUGGCCCAUGCUUCGAGGGCCACCUUUCUGUCAGCCCCUGCCACAGCAUUUGCACUGUGACCGUGGGCUGGGUCAGCAUCUACUUUGGGGGUUUGGACUCAGAGCUGAUGGAAAUGGGCUUUCGGGGCUGCCUGGUGCUCAGAGGAGCCUCCUGGGCUUGCCCAGGGCCUCUCAUCCUGGUUUUGGACACCACUGACAAGAACAUGAAAACAACAUCUCUGAAAACAGCACCUCGGUGCUAUUGCAUUGCACGAGGGCAUGCAGAAGAUUGGAUUGUCCAUGGGGGUCCCAGUCCAGCUGCAGGUGAGAUUUGCUUACUUCAGACUGGACAGAAAGUCUGCCUUGAUGUUGGGGUCUAGCUGUACCUGCUCCAGGACCUUGGGACACACUGUGUCUCCCAGAAAUUCUGCACUCCAGUGCUCGCAUUCCUCCUCCAGCAGUGCUGCAGACUGACAGUUUGUUUUAUUCCAGCAACUGCAGUUGCAUAUGGAGCUUGAGUGAGGUGUGUGGAGAGGUGAAUAACAAAAAACCGGAGAGAGAGAGAAAAAACAAUCAUCCUAAAUGACUUCCAUCUGUCUCCUCCUGUUGCCCACUGCAGAGAUCAGAUUUAUGAAACCUCUGUGCUAGCAGAGGCUCGCUACAAAGCCAGGUGCCAGCUCUGCCACCAGCAAGCCCCUGGGGACCUCAUGGAGCGAGUGCCGCUGCCCCCCUCCUGGUCCUCUUGCCACUGAUGCUUUGGGUGCAUGCCCAGGAUCCUCUCAGUUGCUUACAGGGUUUCACUGCUCAUCGCCAGGCUUUCUCUGCAAUAAAACGUACACCUCCCAUGAGAGGUUUUUUGGGGAAAGGUUGUGUGUCUGCAUUCACUCCAAAGCAAAAAUUCUCCUGCAGUGAUUGUUGAGCAGCUGGAAAGAGAGCGUUCAAAUGUUGCCCAAGCUCGGCUCUGCUCCUACUGAAGCUGGAGGGGAUAUCACCUUCCCCAUCUGAUCUCCCAAGUCAGCUGGCUUGUGCUGCCAUCAGGCAUCUGGGUGGAGUUUUGGGAGGAGGCUUUGUCUUCAGCUGAAAAUGGGGGAACUUCAAGGGGCCCCCAGGAACGCUCCAGGAGCAGGGGUGAAGGUGCCACAUCUGUGCUGCUGAUGCUUUUCUCUGCAUCUGUUUUCUACAGCAGGCAGGCGUCAGGGAGCCUGGCAGAGCUGAAUUCGUCCCCUGCAGAAGCUGGUAGGUGACAGUUCGCACAAGUCCUCAUUCGGAAGCUCUAUUUUGAAUGGAAAAACGGGCUCUCAGCUAAACCAAGCUGCAAUUGAAAGUGUCUGUGAGGUUUUUGUUUGUCUAGCAAGCAGUACAAGUAUUAACGGAGGGGAAAGGGAGCCAAACCAAAAAAUUGCAAGUGCCCUUAAGUAAAAAAUGUUCUCAUCCUUCAGCCCAAACCUACAACACAUCAGCAGAAAAAAAUGAAUGAUAGCAUUUAAUGGGAGCUGUAGCCUUAUUUUUCUACUUUGCUUACAGGACAAAAGCCCCAGCAGACCACAUAUCCUGUGCCAUGUCUCGACUGGGGCAUUCAACUUCUUGUGAGCGGUAAGGCUGUCUGCUACCAGUGUGCUGAACAAGUUCGUGCGAUACUUUCACCCAAGAAAAUGGGUCUCUGGAGGAGUACAGGAGCAUGGCAAUUUGCAAUUGAUAGAUACACCAGCAGUGAAAUUUUCAUUGACAUCUCUCUUACAAAAACCAAAAGCCACAGGCUGUCUUUCCCCUACAAUCCUGACUUGCUGGCUUCUUUUGAAAUCUCAGGUUGCCAACACGAUGCAUGGAAGGUGCCAGCACCAAAUGGAGGAAGGGAUUGCUUUUGAUGUUUCAGUCAAAUUUGUGCUCUAGUAAUUGUUUCUUGGGUGGAGUAAAGAAGACUUAGUCAAGCAGACAUCCCAACCGAGGGGUUAUUAGCUGCAAGGAACAUUUUCUUCUCUCUGCUAAAGCAUCAAGCGUUUCCCUCAUGGCAAACGUGAACAGUCAUUAUACAAAGACACCAAGACACUCAUGGUUUUGAACCGGAGCACAGGCUGUUACUUCUUAUGGGAAACAGCUUAAUGGCUACAAUAUUCAGCCAGGCCACUUUUGGCUGACUUCUGGGACCAGCCUGACUUCCACGCUAAGUGGUUGGUACCCUCUGGAGACUCAUGAAGCCUUCUUCUAGAAGGACUUUUGCACCACAGAAGCAGCUUUCAGGGUUCUGUUUCAAAGCAAGGUUGCCUGACAUCGCUUUGGCUAUGUCCACACGGCUCUGUGGCCUCCUGCCCACAGAAACUUCAGAGCCAAGCUUUGAAGUUGCCCACCCUCUUCCCAUGUCUCUGCUCUCGCUUUGACCUUCCUAACACAAAAAUAGCUCUUUUUAGUCACAGAAAAUAUCAAAGGUGACAGACAAUGGCUGGGUCCUUGUUCUCAUAGAAGUUGGUGGGAACUUUGCCAUGGUCCUGGAGGGGAACGUGAUUAGACCAGCAGGACCUUAUGACAGACCACAGCCCAAGAGGCAAUAGGAUCACUGACCAUAAGCUGUGGAGGCUCAGGAGGUUACCAAUAGGAUGGGUUGGGGGGCUUCCUCUUGGGGACAAUAGGGCAAAUCCAGCCUCCGCUUGGUGGCCUGAGGGACAGGACCUGUAAGCCAGUUCCUAGAACACAGAGGUUGCAGCAGAGUAUGGGAUUUCCAAAAUGAGUGUCAAGAAGCUAGCCAGAGACAAAGUGACAAGGCUGUCCCAACCUACAAGCUCUAUACAACCCAACCCACAUGUCCCACACCAUCAUACCCACAGGCCCUGCACCCUACCAACCUACACACCCUUCUCCAGCCAGCCCACAGGUCCUACACCCAUCACAGGAGUCACUCAGCUGUUGCCAGCUUAGGGUUUUUUUGGAAACUUCUAUCACAUUUUGGGAAUGCUUUCCAUCCUAAUAAUGAGACAGAUACUGUCUAAAAUGCAUGUCUAAAAUGGUGGCUUUUCUGGGGGGUGGGAUUUUGGACAGGGACAUUUUCUGGGUUAAAAGAGGUUAGCUCUUCUCACAGACCUGACCUUACCCAUGGCCUUGGAUUAGCAUAGCCACUAAAGUUUUGCCAUUAGAAAAAUAAUAAUAAUCUUUUGAGCCAGUGGUGGAAAUACCACUCCUAAUCUAACUGCCAAUUUCUCUGCUGGAGCUCAGGCUCCUAUCAGAAGAAACCUGCCCUGGUGUUUCAGUUCACAGCCUUCUCUACAUGUAGAACAGAGCAACAUUAGAGACGAUGAGACAAAAAUAAAUGGAGGAAGCUAGACACGGGAACAUAAUCAAAGGCAUCAAGCCUUUUAAGAUAACGUCUGUCCUAAUAUUUACAGAAUCCUUCCAAAGCCAAGAGACUUCUUCUGGACUUCAGAGGCUCGGCGCUGUUUUGUUCUUGUUUAUGGCUCUGGUGCCAAAGUAAAUCGAGGGGCUGAUAAACACUGCGCACCCUGCCAUGCUCUGUCAAUGGACGUCUUCCUUGGAAUUAGGUGGCUAAACAACAUAAAAGUAUUUUCAUUCUGCUUUAUGCUCUCAUCUGUCUCCUAAACAAUUAUUUUCAGAUUUAUGCUGGAACAUGAACUCAGUAGGACUUAUUUUGCUUUCCUGCUUUUCCAUCCCGCUGAUAAGCUGCCACGCCAGCCCAUGUGCGGAGUUUCUCACCAGCACUGUGCUCAUGUGCUCGGCUUGCAGCCUUCCCUCGUGUGGAAAUCUGCUCCGCUCAGAAACGCAGAGUUAUUUAAGGGGAGCUUUCACAGUAGCCAUUUGAUGUUCAGCCUUUUCGGGUGUCUGGACCCUAAUUAGAGAAGGGAAUUACAGAGCAGGAAGUUGGCAGGACUCAAAACUGUGGGUUCACCCCAAGGCUACGAUCUUCUGGGUUGCUGCUGCAUCUGCACAGUGAUUAGCGGCUCCUGUGCCCCCUGAUUUACUAGAAUACAAUAGAAGCCUUCUAAUUGUCUGUUAAUCAGAGUUAAUUGCUCACUAGGAAGGAGCUCAGGCCUAUCUAGCUGGUGGAAAAGAGAGCUGAAAGCUCCUGGGUGAAGGCUGGAAGCCCCGAGGCAGGCCCCUGGAAGAGCUGCCCUGCUCCUCCAGCACCCGGGCCAGGCCUAACCCAGCUCACUGAGCCCCAUG
Molecule: non-coding RNA, 8463 nt
Organism: Anas platyrhynchos (mallard)
Lineage: Eukaryota; Metazoa; Chordata; Aves; Anseriformes; Anatidae
Source: RefSeq, a predicted model, not a curated record